UAGACCGCUGUUUAUUUGUAUUUAUAUCUGUCUUUGAAAACGAUGACAUAUAAAUAGUGUGUUAAGUGGUUUAGUUGAAUUUAAUGACAACAUCGAUUGGGUGUGGCGAGGAGCUAUGGUGAAAUUUAAUGUUUGCAGGAAGAACAAGAUUUUUCUUAUAUUCGUGAAGUUUCCACCUGGUUCACAUUGGUGGUAAAACUCCAAACUGCUUUAAUGUUGAAUCAUGGCUACGACUCAGUCCGACAACAAUUUCCGUCAGCUGCCACCUGGAACAAAACUUUUGGAUCACCAAGUAGCCGGGCACCUUGUGAAUCAAAAGAACAACGUAAUACCUUUCCUUCAGACAAAGGAUAAGACUUUACUGAAACUCAUCCAACUCCCACCACGGGGUCGUCGUGAACUAAAUUUUUACCAGACUGUCUUUGAUGAAAAGGCUGAGUCAGAUCCCAUCCUCAGACGCUUGAAGGACUUCUUACCGUACUUCUAUGGCACUUGCAAAUUCGAUAUUUUCCCUGAUGAACUGUACCUUCACUUGGAAGAUAUGACAGUUGAAUUUGAAAAAGCUAGUAUUGCUGACAUCAAGAUUGGAAGCCAAACUUACGACCCCGAAGCUUCUGCUGAGAAAAUUCAAUAUGAAAAAAUUAAAAAUCAGUUUUCAACGGAGGUUGGUUUUAAAAUGGGAUUUCGGGUGUAUCGUCCUUCAACUGAUACCUUUCAUUUCCCCUGUCGAAAGAAGCUUCUGCAACUUGACCAGUUUCGAAUUUUAGAAGAAGGUAUUGGUGAAUAUUUUAAUUUGUCUGAAAGUUUACGCAAAGAUGCAGUCUUUGCAAUCUUACUUGAGCUCAUCGACAUCAAAAACUGGUUUGAAAAUCAACGAAAAUUUGCAUUUUAUUCCUCUUCCUUACUGUGCAUUUAUGAAGGGCUUUGGCCUUGUAAGCAGCAUUUAGCAGCAGUGUCCCAAUUACCUCCAUCAAAUCAUUCUAUUGUAAACAAAAACAACGGUGAUUGUCGUGCAAUGACAAAUAUCGAAGAUCUUCUGCAGAGUUCAUAUGGCAAAAGAGAUUCUUGUGUCAAAGUGAAGAUGAUUGAUUUCAGUCAUGUGUAUGCAACAUGUGAAAGGGACAAUAAUUAUUUAAUUGGAUUGGACAGUCUAAUUAACUAUUUAAAAAGGCUACUUACAGAGUUAUAAAAUUGCUAAUUAAUAAAAUAUCAACUCCAGCAAGUCAGCUCCAGUCCAACGCAGCAACAGAUACAAACUGCUUUUUAUUUUUAUGCUUUCACAGCUUUUAACACUUUCGGACAUGGUAUAUAAUAAUAAUAUAAAAUAAGCUACGUGAAUCUAAAGAUUCAGGUAGCUUAUUUUAAUAUUAUCAAAAGUAACAACAAAAUAUCAGAGUGGAUGGAUCAGUUGAUAAACUGUGCUUGAAAUCCACUGAAAAUGUUUAACUUUUGAGAAGGUCCACUUCAUCAUUGAGAUAAACAAUUGAGAUGAUGGGGAGAGAGAGAUAAGUCAUAAGGAAGCAGCUUCGUUUUUAGCAAACUGCUUCACCUCAUGAAGGUGUGGCUGUUGGAGUUUGCUGUAAAUUCAUCACAAAGUAAUGACAUUUACCUGACAAAUCUGUCAUGGUUUUUUUUCCCUUUUUUUUUUAUCCACUGAGUAAAUGUAUUGUAAAACAUGGAAACAAACCGUUUUAUGCUCUGAAAAUUUUUAGAAAUCUUCCAAAAAGAAUAAGACAUGAAGUAAUGAAUUAACAGUCUCCAGUAAUUCUGUAUCCUACAAAGAAACAAUGUAGUUCUGUGAGAAGGAUUCAAUACAUCGUCUAUAAAUAAUGAAAUAAGAAAAUAUUGAAUUAUUUGAGGAAUUGCUCAUAGGCCCAGGAAUGUGGUUAAGACGUGUGCUUCCUCAACCACAUGGUUUUAAGUUCAGUCCCACCGUGAGUCGCCUUGGCUAAUGAAAGCCCUCUGAAUGGAUUGAGUAGACAGAAACUGAAAGAAGCCUGUCACGUAUCUGUGGCUUGUGUGUCUGUCCCUCCAUCUUUGUCUUGACACGGGUAAUUGUUGUGAAUAAGGGACACUGCCAUGCAUUUGAAAUACUCUGUGAAUACAAGUCUGACCAAGGGGCAAAUGUAACCUACUUAAUAGGAAGAGUAUCUGACCA
Molecule: unclassified non-coding RNA, 2158 nt
Filed under: Octopus sinensis (East Asian common octopus)
Lineage: Eukaryota; Metazoa; Mollusca; Cephalopoda; Octopoda; Octopodidae
Description: inositol polyphosphate multikinase-like, transcript variant X2
Source: RNAcentral